This 468-nucleotide ribosomal RNA is filed under the name uncultured bacterium. Its description in RNAcentral is "partial 16S ribosomal RNA". It matches the Rfam family "Bacterial small subunit ribosomal RNA", at positions 28 to 507 of the family's 1533-position model. The record is from RNAcentral.
GACGAACGCUGGCGGCGUGCUUAACACAUGCAAGUCGAACGGAAAGGCCCUGCUUUUGUGGGGUGCUCGAGUGGCGAACGAGUGAGUAACACGUGAGUAACCUGCCCUUGACUUUGGGAUAACUUCAGGAAACUGGGGCUAAUACCGGAUAGGCGCUCCUGCUGCAUGGUGGGGGUUGGAAAGUUUCGGCGGUUGGGGAUGGACUCGCGGCUUAUCAGCUUGUUGGUGGGGUAGUGGCUUACCAAGGCUUUGACGGGUAGCCGGCCUGAGAGGGUAACCGGCCACAUUGGGACUGAGAUACGGCCCAGACUACUACGGGAGGCAGCAGUGGGGAAUAUUGCACAAUGGGCGGAAGCCUGAUGCAGCAACGCCGCGUGCGGGAUGACGGCCUUCGGGUUGUAAACCGCUUUCGCCUGUGACGAAGCGUGAGUGACGGUAAUGGGUAAAGAAGCACCGGCUAACUACGUG